GGCUCAUUAUCGCUCUCCGCAACCCAACCCCACCAACCUUCAAUGUUAUAUGGAUAUUUGGGCCGAGCUGGAGGAGGUGGAAGUGGACGAGGACGUGGACCUGCAGUUUUCCAUGCUUCAAGCUUCUUUUCUUCCACAACAGAAGGUGGGGUCUUUCGGUAAUUACCAAAAAGGUUAACCUCGCGACCAUAAAUUCUACUGAGCUCCCAUCCAGUGCUGAGUGAAGUCCUAUCAACAACAUUUUCAAACAUUGCAUGAAGAGGAAUUAGUG
RNAcentral lists this unclassified non-coding RNA (271 nucleotides) under Hevea brasiliensis (rubber tree). Lineage: Eukaryota; Viridiplantae; Streptophyta; Magnoliopsida; Malpighiales; Euphorbiaceae. The record is from RNAcentral.